RNAcentral lists this ribosomal RNA (752 nucleotides) under Escherichia coli 3-373-03_S1_C2. RNAcentral describes it as "bacterial SSU rRNA". It matches the Rfam family "Bacterial small subunit ribosomal RNA", at positions 775 to 1527 of the family's 1533-position model. Lineage: Bacteria; Pseudomonadati; Pseudomonadota; Gammaproteobacteria; Enterobacterales; Enterobacteriaceae. The record is from RNAcentral.
GGAUUAGAUACCCUGGUAGUCCACGCCGUAAACGAUGUCGACUUGGAGGUUGUGCCCUUGAGGCGUGGCUUCCGGAGCUAACGCGUUAAGUCGACCGCCUGGGGAGUACGGCCGCAAGGUUAAAACUCAAAUGAAUUGACGGGGGCCCGCACAAGCGGUGGAGCAUGUGGUUUAAUUCGAUGCAACGCGAAGAACCUUACCUGGUCUUGACAUCCACAGAACUUUCCAGAGAUGGAUUGGUGCCUUCGGGAACUGUGAGACAGGUGCUGCAUGGCUGUCGUCAGCUCGUGUUGUGAAAUGUUGGGUUAAGUCCCGCAACGAGCGCAACCCUUAUCCUUUAUUGCCAGCGGUCCGGCCGGGAACUCAAAGGAGACUGCCAGUGAUAAACUGGAGGAAGGUGGGGAUGACGUCAAGUCAUCAUGGCCCUUACGACCAGGGCUACACACGUGCUACAAUGGCGCAUACAAAGAGAAGCGACCUCGCGAGAGCAAGCGGACCUCAUAAAGUGCGUCGUAGUCCGGAUUGGAGUCUGCAACUCGACUCCAUGAAGUCGGAAUCGCUAGUAAUCGUGGAUCAGAAUGCCACGGUGAAUACGUUCCCGGGCCUUGUACACACCGCCCGUCACACCAUGGGAGUGGGUUGCAAAAGAAGUAGGUAGCUUAACCUUCGGGAGGGCGCUUACCACUUUGUGAUUCAUGACUGGGGUGAAGUCGUAACAAGGUAACCGUAGGGGAACCUGCGGUUGGAUCACC